CCGACCGCCUCUGGUCCCUCGACCCCGACGGGGUCAAGAAACCCGUCACAACUUAUGAUGGCAACUCUACCCCCUUGACCGGUGUCAUCCCGUUUAGCUACUUCAAAAUUCUCAGACAGGACGUGCUCACCGGCUGGUUCCGUUAUUAAAUCCCUGUUGUUGAAGGAAUACUCCCUCGAGCCCCCUUCGAAGCUGUGGGAACCCUCAGUGGCAGUUCGGCAGCCGCUGAACUUGCAGGCCACUGUUUCCCCCCUCCUACUCCUCUUGAUCCAUAGCAUCCUCUCGAGAUUGACCUCCGGGAUAGAAGCCCCGACGGGAGAACUCCUUGAAAGGGCUUGGAAGACUGAAGGCGGUGGGGAGCCGGCGGAGAUGGCGAAGAUUGGCGCGAAGAAUGCUUAGGGUCGAAAAGGGCACCGAUGGGUGGCUAAACUCUCAGGC
This 438-nucleotide long non-coding RNA is filed under the name Elaeis guineensis (African oil palm). RNAcentral describes it as "long non-coding RNA (EGUI_LNC057937)". Lineage: Eukaryota; Viridiplantae; Streptophyta; Magnoliopsida; Arecales; Arecaceae. The record is from RNAcentral.